Molecule: long non-coding RNA, 269 nt
Organism: Mytilus californianus (California mussel)
Lineage: Eukaryota; Metazoa; Mollusca; Bivalvia; Mytilida; Mytilidae
Exons: 3
Source: RefSeq, a predicted model, not a curated record
ACUGCAGUUCCAACAUUCACAGAACAAACAGCAACUGGACAAUAUGAACAACUGUCUACACCAGUCAACCCUCUGUCAUUAAUGGAUGUUACAAGGGAUUUGGCUGUAGAUGUAAACAAUAUCAAUGCAAUUUUUGAAGACAUCCCAGAGGUUGGACUAUUUGGAGACAUUGGGCAAAAUGAGUGUACAGAAAAUUUCAGAAAAAAAAUUAAAGAACAUAAGGAAUUGUUCAUCCACAAUGACUCGGAUGACCCAUUACUGAUGGAGGU